RNAcentral lists this long non-coding RNA (3746 nucleotides) under Heterocephalus glaber (naked mole-rat). Its description in RNAcentral is "lncRNA (ENSHGLG00000043247.1)". Lineage: Eukaryota; Metazoa; Chordata; Mammalia; Rodentia; Bathyergidae. The record is from RNAcentral.
CAAGUCUUGUAAAUAUAAAAGUCUCAAUCUUUCAUAGCAUUACUGCCUCAUGAAAACCAUUGAUCAAGCUUUUCCCUUUAAGAAAUAGCUUUUGGAUAUUUUAUUGGAAGAAUGAGCUGUUGAUUAUAGAUAAGUGACUUAAACAUGACUGAAACUGAAUUUCCUAAAUGAUUUUUUAGGUUCCCAGAAGUCAUGGUACAAAUUUGAUGGUACAAGUGUUUAUAUGGCAGGUGACUCAGAGCAUGUUUUGCUGUUUUGGAAAACUAAAAGUUCAAGAAGCCUGGAAGUUCUCCUUUUAGAAAAAGAGCACUACUUUUAGGCUUGACUAAUGUUAAUGUAUGUAUGAUUAACAUUUAGUCGAAAUUAAAAUUCUAGGCUGAAGCUAUAGCUCAGUGGUAGAGCACUGCUUAAUUAUUGUUCAAGGUCCUAAAUUUGAUCCCCAACACCACAAACAUAAAUUUAAAAAAUAUAAUUCUUAAUACUGCAAUCCUCAGCAUGACCAAUGAAUAAUGUAGAAAUCAGUACCUGCGCUUUAUAUUUUUUGGUGAUGAUAAAGUAUAUUUUAAGUAACUGAAUUUUAAUAUUUGUAAACUCAUGAAUGAAUUAGAAAGAAACAUACUAAAAGAGGUCUUAGUAGGUAUAAAUGGCUGUGGUUGCCUUCAAUAUAAAAGAUUAUAGAUAUUCAUGCACAUAUGUUCAAACAUAAGCAAAUAUGCAGUUUUGUUUUGCUCCUGUUAUUUUAUCAUAUUACUUAUUACAAAUGAUUUAAUACUGUUGUGAUAGUCAAUACUGUAAGUUUUUUACUGUUAUAAUUCUGUGUUUCUUUAUCACAUCUUCCUAGACAUCAACCCAGAAAUACAGUGGUACUUUGGAUCAUGAACUUAUUUCUUUCCACAAUUCUGGUCGCAAACCAAAUUGGACAAGAAUCAAAUCAAAUUUCCCCAUGGGUUAACCAUUGAAUUUGAUUCAGUUCUCAUCCAAUUCAGUUUGCAACCAGAAUUACGGAAAGAAUUAAGUUCAUGAACCAAGGUACCACUGUACAAAUUUUGAAAGCAGCAGCCCUACUAUUUUAAAUUAGAUAUUCAUUGCUACAUGGAAUAGAUAUUUUUCAAGGGUUCUUAUUAUUCUUCAAUGCUGGGCCCCUCUUUUCAGAAUAAUGUUUUUAAAUCAUUAAAAUAGACAGGAUUAUUAAAGUCAAUUAUUUUGAAACAUACUCAAAAUAUUUUUGAAAUUUGUGAUGUGCUUUAAUUUAUACAUUAAAUGACAAGAUCUACCAACAGUCUAAUAGCUAUUAUAUAAUUGUUUCUCGGCCUUUUGGCUAAGAUCAAGUCUAUUAGCUAUUAUAUUUUCAAGUUGUGAUAAAGAUAAAUGACUUUACAAGAUAUCUGUAACAUCUAUACUAUGAUAGGAAAAGAUCUGUGUUUUCUAUUGGUGACAUCAGUGAUAAGUCAAAGGAACUGUUAAUAAUACUAGAUGUCUUCUGUCUAUUUAUAACGGAGAGAGAUACUAAAUUUCAGUUGAAUGAAAGUAAGACUAUAUUAGGGUUCUCUAGAAGAACAGAUUCAAUAUAAAAUAUAUACAUGAUUAACAAGGGAUUUUAUUAGAUAAAUUUACCGGCUCAUCUAAAAUGGCCAUCUGGGCACUGGAGAGCUAAGGGGGAUCCAGGAGCAGUCGAAGGCUGAUGGCCUGGAAGCUCACUGCGGGAUCACCAGUGUGAGUCUGCACAAGCCAAAGAGUUUGGGUUGCAUGGCUAAAGAGUCUGCCCAGGAAGGCUGAAGAAGCUGAACACCAAUAUUCAAAAGUAACUGCAAGGUCAGAGCUCCCCCCAAAACAAGGAAAACUUUUCCUUCCGUAUUCUCUCCAAGCUACAAGCCUAUUGGUUGGUGCCACCAGUGGGUCUUCUCCCCUCAGUUUGCUGACUUAUGAGUCAGUCAUCCACAGACACACUCAGAAUUUACUAAUCUGCUAGGCAGUUCUUACUCAAGUUGAUACAUUACAAUUAAUGAUCACAAAGAUGUACAUUUUUUUUUCCAACCAAAUAUAUACUACACAUGGGACUUCCUGGGUUCCACAGGACCCACAUUAAAAAUAACCUGUACUAAUCUAUUUUCUAAAUGCUUAUAUCAGCAAUGAUUUACUAUUAUUGUGUGCUACAGAGCUUCUACUUUAACAUCCUUAUAAUAUGCCAGUGCCUUUCUUCAGGUCUUCAUAAAUUCUCCCAUGGACCGUCUACAACAGCCUUCCGGCUGCUCUCCACCUACAGCGUUAUCCUCCCUCCCAACGCCAUUUCUCUACCAGCAUUCUCCAAACUUUGAAAACUGCACAUCUCUUUAAUUGAAGGAGGAACUAAGCAUGAGUGGUGUUGCAUAAGAGGAGUUCAAAGAUGUCUGCAAGGGAAGGCAGCAAAGGAUUCACCAUGAGACAGUGCUGCUAAAUGAUAUGAUUAAAGUCAUAUAGGAAAAUGACAAAUCAUUCAUCAAGAACCACAACCCGAAGUUACAGGGGUGAUAAAAUGGAGCUGAAAGCCAAAUAAUCCAGUCCCGGUCAUGCAGUUAACUACUCAAAUCCAGUCAUCUCGAGUGUGGUGUGUUCACACACCCUGCUUUCUCUUCUCCGCUGCUCUAUCUACCCGACUUGGUCAGCAGUCUCAUGCAUUACUAACUCUGUCUGGAGACAGCAGCCCAGGUGAAGUAUGCCUUCUAGAAAAGUGAGAAAUUACAGUGCCAAAGACACAGCCCUCUGAGGUGACUUAGAAUCAACUGGGCCGAGAUUCUGCACUUCUAGCAAGCUGCCUUGUGAUCCUAUCAUAUUGCUGCUGGUCCAUGGAUCCAAGCAGAGGAAGCUUAAGAAGACUGUUGUGGACAACAGUAGAUAAGAACUCAUCUUACUUUUCAAAUAAGGCCCUUUUUCUCACAGGUUCUGCGGAAGAAGAAACAAUCAGAGAGAUAACUCUGUGAGUUUUCACAAUAAAUGCAAUCAGCAGCACAAUAAAUUAUACAUUUUCAUCAUCCCUAGUAUACCUCCAUGUCCUUUGUGGCCAACCAGUGAGACCCCUUGAUCUGUUUUCUGCAGAAUGUCAUAUAAAAGAAAUCACAGCAUUUCAAUGCAGUCUUUUGAUAAUGGUUUCUUUCAUUAACUACAGCAUUAAAGCUUUAUUCUUGGUUUAUGUAUUAUUAUCACUUCCUUUUUUCACUGAGUUGUAUUUGCUUAUAUUGAUAUAUCACAUCUUGCUUAUCUAUUCCAUAAUUGAGAGAUUUUUUUUAUUUUGGUUAAUCUAAAAAUGGUAAAAAUGCAUGUAUAAAUUUUUGUGUGAAUGUAGGCUGUAUUUCACUUGACUAACAAGUGAAAUAAAAAUAACAAACAAUGAGAUUGCUGGGUUGUACGUCAAAUGUAUGUUUAUAAGAAACUAUCAAAGUGUUUUCCAUAGUUCUUUUCUUACAGUCUCACCAGAGUUCCAGGUUUAUUUUUGUAGUUUACUCACUCUCUCAAUGUCAUAAAUUAAUUUGCCUAUUCUUGAACAUCAAAUAAUGGAAUUAUUUAUGUGGCUUCUUUUGCUUAAUAUAAAGUUUGUAGAAUUCAUUCAUGUUAUUCCAUGUAAUAAGAGUUUAUUCUUUUUUGCUGAUGAAUAGUAUUCUGUAAUAUGAAUACAAACCUGUUUUGUUUAUUCAUUCAUUUGUUGUUGGACAUUUGGGUUGUAAGAAACAGCAGGGAAGUCACAAUAGUUUUGUGGUGUGUGUGUGUGUGUG